This is a long non-coding RNA of Hemicordylus capensis (graceful crag lizard), 293 nucleotides long. RefSeq lists it as uncharacterized. The record is from RefSeq and is a predicted model, not a curated record. The transcript is spliced from 3 exons. NCBI's taxonomy places the organism in Eukaryota, Metazoa, Chordata, Lepidosauria, Squamata, Cordylidae.
CAGAGAACCUGGCUGCUUAGUACAAACAGCACCACUCAGGGACUACAGUGGGGGCAGUGAAGGUGUAACAGAGAAGCGGGUCACUAAAUUGAAGCACUGACUUCUGAACUCAGUGCUCCCUUUGCACGUGAGAAUAAUCACCGUUCUACUGUGACAAAGCGACUCAUCCUGGGAUGGAACACUGACCUUCAGACUUGUUUCUAUGUUAAACAACAUUGGAGACUAUAUGGAGCCCUGAGGGACACCAUACCGAAGUUCAGUUUUUGAAGAACAACAGUCCCUGAGAGACACCA